GACGAACGCUGGCGGCGUGCUUAACACAUGCAAGUCGAACGGAAAGGCCUCUUUCGGGGGGUACUCGAGUGGCGAACGGGUGAGUAACACGUGAGUAACCUGCCCUUGACUUUGGGAUAACUUCAGGAAACUGGGGCUAAUACCGGAUAGGAGCUCCUGCUGCAUGGUGGGGGUUGGAAAGUUUCGGCGGUUGGGGAUGGACUCGCGGCUUAUCAGCUUGUUGGUGGGGUAGUGGCUUACCAAGGCGUUGACGGGUAGCCGGCCUGGGAGGGUGAACGGCCAAAUUGGGAAUGAGAUACGGCCCAGACUCCUACGGGAGGCAGCCGUGGGGAAUAUUGCACAAUGGGUGGGAGCCUGAUGCAGCAACGCCGUGUGCGGGAUGACGGCCUUCGGGUUGUAAACCGCUUUCGCUCAUGACGAAGCUUUGUGUGACGGUAGUGGGUAAAGAAGCACCGGCUAACUACGUG
This 467-nucleotide ribosomal RNA is filed under the name uncultured bacterium. RNAcentral describes it as "partial 16S ribosomal RNA". It matches the Rfam family "Bacterial small subunit ribosomal RNA", at positions 28 to 507 of the family's 1533-position model. The record is from RNAcentral.